AAUAGAUACCGGGUAGUCCACCCCGUAAACGUUGGGAACUAGUUGUGGGCUCCUUUCCACGGAUUCCGUGACGCAGCUAACGCAUUAAGUUCCCCGCCUGGGGAGUACAGCCGCAAGGCUAAAACUCAAAGGGAUUGACGGGGACCCGCACAAGCGGCGGAGCAUGCGGAUUAAUUCGAUGCAACGCGAAGAACCUUACCAAGGCUUGACAUACACCGGAAACGGCCAGAGAUGGUCGCCCCGCAAGGUCGGUGUACAGGUGGUGCAUGGUUGUCGUCAGCUCGUGUCGUGAGAUGUUGGGUUAAGUCCCGCAACGAGCGCAACCCUCGUUCCAUGUUGCCAGCACGUAAUGGUGGGAACUCAUGGGAUACUGCCGGGGUCAACUCGGAGGAAGGUGGGGAUGACGUCAAAUCAUCAUGCCCCUUAUGUCUUGGGCUUCACGCAUGCUACAAUGGCCGGUACAAAGGGCUGCAAUACCGUGAGGUGGAGCGAAUCCCAAAAAGCCGGUCCCAGUUCGGAUUGAGGUCUGCAACUCGACCUC
Molecule: ribosomal RNA, 541 nt
Filed under: uncultured bacterium
Lineage: Bacteria
Description: bacterial SSU rRNA
Rfam family: Bacterial small subunit ribosomal RNA
Source: RNAcentral